GCUGCAGCUCGCCCCCAAAAUCACACCCAGUUCAUCCCCGCCGUCGCCUCUUCCAAAACCCUAACCCUAGUCCUCAGAAGCCCCAACAGCCAUGGCGGCCCCCAGGGAGCUCUCUCAGAAGGAGCAGGACGUGGCGAUGAUGCUUGCCGCCGACGUCCACCUCGGGACGAAGAACUGCAACUUUCAGAUGGAGCGCUACGUCUACAAG
Molecule: unclassified non-coding RNA, 208 nt
Filed under: Hevea brasiliensis (rubber tree)
Lineage: Eukaryota; Viridiplantae; Streptophyta; Magnoliopsida; Malpighiales; Euphorbiaceae
Source: RNAcentral